GCCGACUACCGACGCCGUGUCCCGUCCCGUCAUUCGUGUGGCUUACGCCGCUAUUGCCUUUGAUGAAGUGCUUGUGUGCCGGUACCCGACCUACGGGAAUUGGUGCAUCGUACUCGGUUGCCUCGCGGUGGAUGCCUUCGGGCGUGCCACCGUGGCCAAGUGGCGCUUGCGGCGUUGCCUCGUGGUUCUGGCAYGUUUACRUGCCUGGUGCUAUCAAGGCAGCCUCGCUAGCGCUGUUGGUUUCGGAUGUUGCUCACGAUAAAGGCUCAUGGCCCUUUUUGUUGCCUAGACCCGAACCUACAAAGCUCUYUGAACCCGAACGUGUCGUAGAACGGGGUGUUGCCUCUGUGAUAUGCAACUGCCUGGACCGAUGCUAGUAAGUCGUAGGGGAGCGCUGUUGGUUUCGGACGUUGCUCACGAUAAGGUUGCCUAGACCCGAAMMUACAAAGCUCUCUGAACCCGAACGUGUCRUAGAACGGGGUGUUGCCUCUGCCUCUMSACAGUUAGUGGUAGGAUACGCAACAUCCUGGACCGAUGCUAGUAAGACGUAGGGGAGCUUGGCCCGCUCAAUUGCGACAACCGGCCCGGCUGUUGUCUGCCUUCACGGGCGGAUGGCCACCGAUGCUGGACGUCAAAGAGGACGUGCUACCUGGUUGAUCCUGCCAGUA
RNAcentral lists this unclassified non-coding RNA (668 nucleotides) under Sibirotrisetum sibiricum. Its description in RNAcentral is "contains 3' external transcribed spacer, ETS". The record is from RNAcentral. Lineage: Eukaryota; Viridiplantae; Streptophyta; Magnoliopsida; Poales; Poaceae.